Molecule: ribosomal RNA, 1372 nt
Filed under: uncultured bacterium
Lineage: Bacteria
Description: bacterial SSU rRNA
Rfam family: Bacterial small subunit ribosomal RNA
Source: RNAcentral
GAUGAACGCUGGCGGCGUGCCUAAUACAUGCAAGUCGAGCGAACAGACGAGGAGCUUGCUCCUCUGACGCUAGCGGCGGACGGGUGAGUAACACGUGGAUAACCUACCUAUAAGACUGGGAUAACUUCGGGAAACCGGAGCUAAUACCGGAUAACAUGUUGAACCGCAUGGUUCAACAGUGAAAGACGGUCUUGCUGUCACUUAUAGAUGGAUCCGCGCCGCAUUAGCUAGUUGGUAAGGUAACGGCUUACCAAGGCAACGAUGCGUAGCCGACCUGAGAGGGUGAUCGGCCACACUGGAACUGAGACACGGUCCAGACUCCUACGGGAGGCAGCAGUAGGGAAUCUUCCGCAAUGGGCGAAAGCCUGACGGAGCAACGCCGCGUGAGUGAAGAAGGUCUUCGGAUCGUAAAACUCUGUUAUUAGGGAAGAACAAAUGUGUAAGUAACUAUGCACGUCUUGACGGUACCUAAUCAGAAAGCCACGGCUAACUACGUGCCAGCAGCCGCGGUAAUACGUAGGUGGCAAGCGUUAUCCGGAAUUAUUGGGCGUAAAGCGCGCGUAGGCGGUUUUUUAAGUCUGAUGUGAAAGCCCACGGCUCAACCGUGGAGGGUCAUUGGAAACUGGAAAACUUGAGUGCAGAAGAGGAAAGUGGAAUUCCAUGUGUAGCGGUGAAAUGCGCAGAGAUAUGGAGGAACACCAGUGGCGAAGGCGACUUUCUGGUCUGUAACUGACGCUGAUGUGCGAAAGCGUGGAGAUCAAACAGGAUUAGAUACCCUGGUAGUCCACGCCGUAAACGAUGAGUGCUAAGUGUUAGGGGGUUUCCGCCCCUUAGUGCUGCAGCUAACGCAUUAAGCACUCCGCCUGGGGAGUACGACCGCAAGGUUGAAACUCAAAGGAAUUGACGGGGACCCGCACAAGCGGUGGAGCAUGUGGUUUAAUUCGAAGCAACGCGAAGAACCUUACCAAAUCGUGACAUCCUCUGACCCCUCUAGAGAUAGAGUUUCCCCCUUCGGGGGACAGAGUGACAGGUGGUGCAUGGUUGUCGUCAGCUCGUGUCGUGAGAUGUUGGGUUAAGUCCCGCAACGAGCGCAACCCUUAAGCUUAGUUGCCAUCAUUAAGUUGGGCACUCUAAGUUGACUGCCGGUGACAAACCGGAGGAAGGUGGGGAUGACGUCAAAUCAUCAUGCCCCUUAUGAUUUGGGCUACACACGUGCUACAAUGGACAAUACAAAGGGUAGCGAAACCGCGAGGUCAAGCAAAUCCCAUAAAGUUGUUCUCAGUUCGGAUUGUAGUCUGCAACUCGACUACAUGAAGCUGGAAUCGCUAGUAAUCGUAGAUCAGCAUGCUACGGUGAAUACGUUCCCGGGUCU